Molecule: small nucleolar RNA, 112 nt
Filed under: Echinops telfairi (small Madagascar hedgehog)
Lineage: Eukaryota; Metazoa; Chordata; Mammalia; Afrosoricida; Tenrecidae
Description: Small nucleolar RNA SNORA61 (ENSETEG00000025238.1)
Source: RNAcentral
AUCCUCCACUCCUCAGAUCGACAUGUUGGUCUGAUUGACUGAAAAGGGAGGGAAAGUAAAACAGAAGUGAACUUGGAUUCCUUAGUGACAUACAAAUUCAUUUCAAACACAU